AAUUUUAACAGAUCCUUUCGGGGAGAAGAUAAGAUGGAUUAGCGGCGGACGGGUGAGUAACACGUGAGUAACCUGCCUUUGACACAGGGAUAGCCUCGGGAAACCGGGAUUAAUACCAGAUAACAUUAUCAGAUCGCAUGAGAAGAUAAUCAAAGCUGAGGCGGUCAAAGAUGGACUCGCGUCCCAUUAGCUAGUUGGUAGAGUAAUAGCCUACCAAGGCAACGAUGGGUAGCCGGCCUGAGAGGGAGAACGGCCACAUUGGAACUGAGAAACGGUCCAAACUCCUACGGGAGGCAGCAGUGGGGAAUAUUGCACAAUGGGGGAAACCCUGAUGCAGCGACGCCGCGUGAGCGAAGAAGGUUUUCGAAUCGUAAAGCUCUGUCCUAUGGGAAGAUAAUGACGGUACC
RNAcentral lists this ribosomal RNA (407 nucleotides) under uncultured Peptoniphilus sp. RNAcentral describes it as "bacterial SSU rRNA". It matches the Rfam family "Bacterial small subunit ribosomal RNA", at positions 65 to 479 of the family's 1533-position model. The record is from RNAcentral. Lineage: Bacteria; Bacillati; Bacillota; Tissierellia; Tissierellales; Peptoniphilaceae.